Molecule: ribosomal RNA, 233 nt
Filed under: uncultured bacterium
Lineage: Bacteria
Description: partial 16S ribosomal RNA
Rfam family: Bacterial small subunit ribosomal RNA
Source: RNAcentral
UACGAAGGGGGCUAGCGUUGUUCGGAAUUACUGGGCGUAAAGCGCACGUAGGCGGAUAUUUAAGUCAGGGGUGAAAUCCCAGAGCUCAACUCUAGAACUGACCUUUGAUACUGGAUAAUCUUGAGUAUGGGAAGAGGUAAGUGGAAUUGCGAGUGUAGAGGUGAAAUUUCGUAGAUAUUCGCAGGAACACCAGUGGCGAAGGCGGCUUACUGGUCCAUUAACUGACGCUGAGG